Molecule: ribosomal RNA, 1293 nt
Filed under: uncultured Bacteroidota bacterium
Lineage: Bacteria; Pseudomonadati; Bacteroidota
Description: bacterial SSU rRNA
Rfam family: Bacterial small subunit ribosomal RNA
Source: RNAcentral
CUUGCUAUCCAGAGAGCGGCGUACGGGUGCGUAACACGUGUGCAACCUGCCUUUAUCUGGGGGAUAGCCUUUCGAAAGGAAGAUUAAUACCCCAUAAUAUGGUGUCCGGCAUCGGUCGCCAUUGAAAGCCUCGGCGGAUAGAGAUGGGCACGCGCAAGAUUAGAUAGUUGGCGGGGUAACGGCCCACCAAGUCGAUGAUCUUUAGGGGUCCUGAGAGGGAGAUCCCCCACACUGGUACUGAGACACGGACCAGACUCCUACGGGAGGCAGCAGUGAGGAAUAUUGGACAAUGGGUGGAAGCCUGAUCCAGCCAUCCCGCGUGAAGGAUGACGGUCCUAUGGAUUGUAAACUUCUUUUGUACAGGGAUAAACCUGCCCUCGUGAGGGCAGCUGAAGGUACUGUACGAAUAAGCACCGGCUAACUCCGUGCCAGCAGCCGCGGUAAUACGGAGGGUGCGAGCGUUAUCCGGAUUUAUUGGGUUUAAAGGGUCCGUAGGCGGGCCUGUAAGUCAGUGGUGAAAUCUCAUAGCUUAACUAUGAAACUGCCAUUGAUACUGCAGGCCUUGAGUAAAUUUGAAGUGGCUGGAAUAAGUGGUGUAGCGGUGAAAUGCAUAGAUAUUACUUAGAACACCGAUUGCGAAGGCAGGUCACUAAGAUUUAACUGACGCUGAUGGACGAAAGCGUGGGGAGCGAACAGGAUUAGAUACCCUGGUAGUCCACGCCGUAAACGAUGCUAACUCGUUUUUGGAUCUUCGGGUUCAGAGACCAAGCGAAAGUGAUAAGUUAGCCACCUGGGGAGUACGUCCGCAAGGAUGAAACUCAAAGGAAUUGACGGGGGCCCGCACAAGCGGUGGAUUAUGUGGUUUAAUUCGAUGAUACGCGAGGAACCUUACCAAGACUUAAAUGGGAAUUGACAGAUUUAGAAAUAGAUCCUCCUUCGGGCAAUUUUCAAGGUGCUGCAUGGUUGUCGUCAGCUCGUGCCGUGAGGUGUUAGGUUAAGUCCUGCAACGAGCGCAACCCCUGCCAACAGUUGCCAUCAUUCAGUUGGGGACUCUGUUGGGACUGCCUACGCAAGUAGAGAGGAGGGUGGGGAUGACGUCAAAUCAUCACGGCCCUUACGUCUUGGGCCACACACGUAAUACAAUGGCCGGUACAGAGGGCAGCUACCUGGUGACAGGAUGCGAAUCUCGAAAGCCGGUCUCAGUUCGGAUUGGAGUCUGCAACUCGACUCUAUGAAGCUGGAAUCGCUAGUAAUCGCGCAUCAGCCAUGGCGCGGUGAAUACGUUCCCGGGCC